This 66-nucleotide transfer RNA is filed under the name Leaunio lienosus. Its description in RNAcentral is "tRNA-Glu". The record is from RNAcentral. Lineage: Eukaryota; Metazoa; Mollusca; Bivalvia; Unionida; Unionidae.
GCCAAUUAGGUGUUUCAUUCGCACAUUGACUUUUCACGUCAAAAGAGCACACUAGUGCACUCGGCU